CCUACGUGAGGCAGCAGUGAGGAAUAUUGGUCAAUGGACGAGAGUCUGAACCAGCCAAGUAGCGUGAAGGAUGACUGCCCUAUGGGUUGUAAACUUCUUUUAUAUGGGAAUAAAAUGUUCCACGUGUGGGAUUUUGUAUGUACCAUAUGAAUAAGGAUCGGCUAACUCCGUGCCAGCCGCCGCGGUAAUACGGAGGAUCCGAGCGUUCUCCGGAAUUAUUGGGUUUAAAGGGAGCGUAGGUGGAUUGGUAAGUUAGGUGUGAAAGUUGGGGGCUCAACCGUAAAAUUGCAGUUGAAACUGGACAUUUGGAGUACAGACGAGGAAGGUGGAAUUCGGGGUGUAGGGGUGAAAUGUUGAGAGAGAACGAAGAACUCCAAUGGCGAAGGCACACUAC
This 394-nucleotide ribosomal RNA is filed under the name uncultured bacterium. RNAcentral describes it as "partial 16S ribosomal RNA". It matches the Rfam family "Bacterial small subunit ribosomal RNA", at positions 338 to 729 of the family's 1533-position model. The record is from RNAcentral.